Molecule: RNA transcript, 4283 nt
Organism: Zalophus californianus (California sea lion)
Lineage: Eukaryota; Metazoa; Chordata; Mammalia; Carnivora; Otariidae
Gene name: KIAA0930 ortholog
Exons: 11
Source: RefSeq, a predicted model, not a curated record
GCCCGCGCCCGCGGGGCUCCAUGCCGGGCCGCCCGCCCUCCCCGCCGCUGCCACCGCCUCCCCUGAGCCUGCGGGCGGCGCGGAGGCCGAGGAGCGGUCGCUGCAGCGCAUGCUGCGCGCCAUAGCCGAGGAGCGCGGCCGCCUCAGCCUGCGCCGUGAGGUCUGCGGCCUCGGGUGCUUCAAGGAUGACCGCAUCGUCUUCUGGACUUGGAUGUUCUCUACUUACUUCAUGGAGAAAUGGGCGCCGCGGCAGGACGACAUGCUUUUCUAUGUGCGCCGGAAGCUGGCGUACCCGGGCAGCGAGGGCAGCGUGGACGGGAGGAAGCUGGCUGAGGCUGAGCCCGAGGUGGAGGUAGAGGUGUACCGGCGUGACUCCAAGAAGCUGCCGGGCCUUGGAGACCCUGACAUCGACUGGGAGGAGAGCGUCUGCCUGAACCUCAUCCUGCAGAAGCUGGACUACAUGGUGACCUGUGCCGUGUGCACACGCGCUGAUGGGGGGGACAUCCACAUCCAUAAGAAGAAAUCCCAGCAAGUGUUUGCGUCCCCCAGUAAACACCCCAUGGACAGCAAGGGAGAAGAAUCCAAGAUCAGCUACCCCAACAUCUUCUUCAUGAUCGACAGCUUCGAGGAGGUGUUCAGCGACAUGACGGUGGGGGAGGGGGAGAUGGUCUGCGUGGAGCUGGUGGCCAGUGACAAAACCAACCUGUUCCAAGGGGUCAUCUUUCAGGGCUCCAUCCGCUAUGAGGCACUCAAGAAGGUGUAUGACAACCGAGUGAGUGUGGCUGCCCGUAUGGCACAGAAGAUGUCAUUCGGCUUCUACAAGUACAACAACAUGGAGUUUGUGCGCAUGAAGGGGCCCCAGGGCAAGGGUCAUGCGGAGAUGGCAGUCAGCCGCGUGUCUACUGGUGACACGUCCCCCUGUGGGACCGAAGAGGAUUCCAGCCCGGCUUCACCCAUGCACGAGCGGGUGACCUCCUUCAGCACGCCCCCCACUCCAGAGCGGAACAACCGGCCCGCAUUCUUCUCCCCAUCCCUCAAGAGGAAGGUGCCCCGGAACCGGAUCGCUGAGAUGAAGAAGUCUCACUCGGCCAAUGACAGUGAGGAGUUCUUCCGGGAGGACAGCGGCAGGGCGGAUCUGCACAAUGCCACCAACCUGCGGUCUCGGUCCCUGUCUGGCACGGGGCGGUCCCUGGUUGGGUCCUGGCUGAAGCUGAACAGAGCGGAUGGAAAUUUCCUUCUCUAUGCACACUUGACCUACGUCACUUUGCCGUUGCAUCGGAUUUUAACAGACAUCCUGGAAGUGCGGCAGAAGCCCAUCCUGAUGACCUAGCCGUGUGCAGAGCCUGCGCAGAGCCCCCCAGCCCUGCCCGGCCCUGGGGGUGCUGCCAAGUGCCUAGCUGUCCACCACCACCGGGGUCUUCUGUGACAACCCAGCGCCGACGCCGGAGCCCGGCGGGGCCGCUCGACUCCUGGGGCCAGGGCCGACUCCACGAACACCAGCCCAAACUGAAGUGCCUCUUCCUCCUCCCCUGCUGGCUCUGCUCCUGCCCCUGUGCCCGCCGUCCCGGCCCCCCCCCCCCCCCGCCCAUCUCUGGAGCGUCCUCUGCACCCCCAGAGGACCAGAGAGGCCGAGAGGCUGUAAGAGAGAGCAGAGGAGCAGCCAGGGUCCAGAGCGUGUCCAGACCCGCUAACCCGACGUCCACACUCAGACCGCAGGUGGAGAGACCACCCAGUUGGGGGCACCCAGAGUGUCAGCGUGUCGACGCCUUCCCAAGGAGAACUGGCUCACGGUUUCGUGCUGCUGCACCCAUGAACUUGAGCGUCCGAGUUAGUCCCGACUUGUCCGCCUUCCCUUGUUUACCGCUUGGUUACAAAUGGGUUGCCUCGGGGAGAUGGGGCACGCAGCUGUCUGAGGGCUUUGCCCUGGGCUGGGAAUACCUCACCCCACGCCUGGUUCCAGAAAGGCCUCGAGCUGAGCAGACAGGCCCCGAUCCUGCCAGAAUGGCCUUUGCUUCCAGCCAAAGAGCUCCACCAAUACUCACACCUCCACCCUGGAGACACCCCGCUCUGCGCCUCGGCCGGCGUGACCCACAGAAUCUGGACUCUGAGGGCAGGAAUCCUUUCUCCCUGGUCAUCCGGGGUCUGAAGACUCUGGAACUCAGGUCUUGGGAGAAAUACGGUCCCGGUGUAUCUUCCACGGAAGGAGGGGGUAGUCGAACGGACGCAGGACGGCGGCCCUCCCUCUGUUCUCAGAGGUUGAGGAGCACGAAAGGGCCCCCCCAAUGGAACCAAGCCCCGGGGCUCAGCCACGGCUGCCGGCGGGGCCGCGGGCACGUCAGACGCCGCCUCUGGGAAACGACAAACCGGAGUCACAGGGCACCCGAGGGCCGGUGUGACGUGCGCGAGUGCUUCGCCGGUCUCAGGAAGCGUGCGCCACGGAGCGGUUCUAGGGAUGACGCCUCAUUUGUACCACGUGCGAACCACGUGCACGAUGGCUUGGCUGUUUCCGGUCCCGCACUGAGGCAGCACUCGGCCUGCCCAGGCUCGGUGCUGAGGGGCACGUACGUCGCCGUCCCCAGCCUCGGGCUCGGGCUCGGCCAGCGGCCCACCCACGCGUCCGCAACACUGCUGCCCUGGGACAGACGGACGCGCGUGGUGGCGUCCGCCCUUCGAGGUCUUUCCCUCUUCCAGAGGUUACUUCUGGGACUGAAUUUUUAAACACGCUUUUUUGAGAGGCACUUGGGCACUAGGCAGUAAGCUGUCACCCUGAGGUUCAUUUUUUUCGAAGUGAUAAAGGACAUCAGUAACAGAGUAAUAGAAUAACAAGUGACGGGGCCAAGCCCAGCACCCGUGUCCUGGAGUGUCCGGCUGUCACUUCUCAUAAGGCCAUCUUUAACUUUUCUGGAAACACGCCUGUCUCUCGUGUACUGCAGGGAAGACCGAAGCACGCGCACAUUUCUUCAGUGGGAACUGGAAUCAAAGUACGGUUUUUCUGUGAAGACCCUGCGGUGUCACUUUUUAGGACAUGUAUGAGAAAGCAAGCUCUCUUUUUCUGAGAAAUGUCACGGUCCUAGCGUCUGAUGGGCGGCAUGUCGCCUCUAGUCCACCUUCAGCGCCUGCAGGCUGAGGGGGCAUUCGGUCUCACACGCCGAGGUCUUCCAGGAAUUUCCAGUUGCUUGUAGAGAUAGCCGAGGCUCAGUAUCUCAGAAGAAUAUUCCCAAGUGACAGGGAAGUAGUCCACAGAGAACAAAAUCUUCCCCAGCCCAGUGAGUUUGGAGAUGGCUGGGGGUUCUGACAAGUCCCGUUCCCGCUCACAUUUGGACUUUUCAGGGACUGUGCACAGAUGAUCCAGUCAGGUUUCUGUUCCCCACGGAGCAGUGCUCGUUAACGACACGGAGGCACCUGCCCGGCGGAAUUGCUCUUUUCAAGAGCCUGGCUAGAAGCAAACCAGGAGCUGGUGUUGCUGUUUUAAUCACCGUCUAGUCAGUAGACUUGAAAAGUGCCGUAAAAACUUUUUUUCCCGUUAAAAGACAUUCCCGAAGGCAGGCCCUGUGCAGCUGGCAAAUUCUAGUGACUUGACUCGAAGGACGCUUCUGACGCCGUCCCAACGGGGAGGCCACGACCCUCUAGAGAUGUCAGCGCUAGAGAGCUGCCGACGUUUUCAUGAGCCUCGAGCGGUCCCACUGUGGCACACGACUGAGCCGGAACGUGGUUUUCUAUCCGGUCUCAAACACCAAGCGUCUGUGGGUGUGACGUUGAUUCUCCCUGUUCGGGCUUCUCAUCUUUGUCUCAGAGAGCGGAUUCGCUUAAAACACAUCAGCACCCUGACAGGACGCGGGCUCCGGGAGAGCAGCGGGAGGCGUUGCCCUCCGGGCUCCCGUGGCCAUGGUGCCCCCCUCCCGGCCCUCGGUGCGGGGGGGGGGGGGCGCACGCGGGGCUGCUCUCCUCUCCUCUGUUCCUUUCCACCGGCUGUCGUGGCGCGGACACGGUCCUCGGUGGGACAAGGAAUCCUCUGGCCCUUUCUCUGAGCCUCUGUCUCGAAAGGUCUGGAGAACUCCUUGGAUGCCCACCCGCAGAAGCCAAGUCACCCGGACCCCGAGUGGCCCGGCCGGCGGUGGGUCCCCUGCAGCGGAGAGAGUUUGUGUUUACAGUUUUCUACCGUCCCCAAGGCAAGCAGGCACCUUGAUCUGGCGGCGCGCCGGGGCCUUGAACGCCAGAGACCAGAGGUCACGGUGGCGCUCCAGCUCCCCCCACCCCCCACCCCCCCCACCCCCCCCACCCCC